RNAcentral lists this ribosomal RNA (406 nucleotides) under uncultured bacterium. RNAcentral's name for it is "partial 16S ribosomal RNA". It matches the Rfam family "Bacterial small subunit ribosomal RNA", at positions 30 to 526 of the family's 1533-position model. The record is from RNAcentral.
AUUGAACGCUGGCGGCAGGCCUAACACAUGCAAGUCGAACGAGUGGCGGACGGGUGAGUAAUGUCUGGGAAACUGCCUGAUGGAGGGGGAUAACUACUGGAAACGGUAGCUAAUACCGCAUACCAUCAGAUGUGCCCAGAUGGGAUUAGCUAGUUGGUGGGGUAACGGCUCACCAGGGCGACGAUCCCUAGCUGGUCUGAGAGGAUGACAACCCAACUUGGAACUGAGACACGGUCCAGACGCCGACGGGAGGCAGAAGUGGGGAAGAUUGCACAAUGGGCGCAAGCCAGAUGCAGCCACGCCGCGUGUAUGAAGAAGGCCUUCGGGUUGUAAAGUACUUUCAGCGGGGAGGCGUUACCCGCAGAAGAAGCACCGGCUAACUCCGUGCCAGCAGCCGCGGUAAUUC